AUUGAACGCUGGCGGCAGGCCUAACACAUGCAAGUCGAACGAGUGGCGGACGGGUGAGUAAUGUCUGGGAAACUGCCCGAUGGAGGGGGAUAACUACUGGAAACGGUAGCUAAUACCGCAUACCAUCGGAUGUGCCCAGAUGGGUUUAGCUUGUAGGUGAGGUAACGGCUCCCCUAGGCGACGAUCCCUAGCUGGUCUGAGAGGAUGAUCAGCCACACUGGGACUGAAACACGGCCCAGACACCGACGGGAGGCAGCAGUGGGAAGUAUUGCACAAUAGGCGCAAGCCUGAUGCAGCCAUGCCGCGUGUAUGAAGAAAGCCUUCGGGUUGUAAAGUACUUUCAGUCGGGAGGCGUUACCGACAGAAGAAGCACCGGCUAACUCCGUGCCAGCAGCCGCGGUAAUAC
Molecule: ribosomal RNA, 406 nt
Filed under: uncultured bacterium
Lineage: Bacteria
Description: partial 16S ribosomal RNA
Rfam family: Bacterial small subunit ribosomal RNA
Source: RNAcentral